GACGAACGCUGGCGGCGUGCUUAACACAUGCAAGUCGAACGGUGAAGCGCCUUCCUUUUUGGUGGGUGUGGAUGAGUGGCGAACGGGUGAGUAACACGUGAGUAACCUGCCCCCUUCUUCUGGAUAACCGCAUGAAAGUGUGGCUAAUACGGGAUAUUCUGGGUCUGUCGCAUGAUGGGUCUGGUAAAGAUAUUGUUUCUGUGGGGGAUGGGCUCGCGGCCUAUCAGCUUGUUGGUGGGGUGAUGGCCUACCAAGGCGGUGACGGGUAGCCGGCCUGAGAGGGUGGACGGUCAAACUGGGACGGAGAAAAGGCGAAGACGGCAAGGGGAGGCAGAAGAGGGGAAUAGUGGACAAUGGGAGAAAGACUGAUGCAGCGACGCCGCGUGAGGGAUGGAGGCCUUCGGGGUGUGAACCGCUUUCGGGAGUGAAGGAGGGCUGCCUCGUGUGUGGGUGGGUUGACGGUAGCUGGAUAAGAAGCGCCGGCUAACUACGUG
This 494-nucleotide ribosomal RNA is filed under the name uncultured bacterium. Its description in RNAcentral is "partial 16S ribosomal RNA". It matches the Rfam family "Bacterial small subunit ribosomal RNA", at positions 28 to 507 of the family's 1533-position model. The record is from RNAcentral.